UACCUUAUAGGUUAAAUAAACUAAAUAAUUUGCUAUUAUUAGAUAAUUAAGGUUA
Molecule: transfer RNA, 55 nt
Filed under: Oncicola luehei
Lineage: Eukaryota; Metazoa; Acanthocephala; Archiacanthocephala; Oligacanthorhynchida; Oligacanthorhynchidae
Description: tRNA-Ala
Source: RNAcentral